Molecule: long non-coding RNA, 613 nt
Filed under: Salmo salar (Atlantic salmon)
Lineage: Eukaryota; Metazoa; Chordata; Actinopteri; Salmoniformes; Salmonidae
Description: lncRNA (ENSSSAG00000114856.1)
Source: RNAcentral
CUUGGCUGGAAGCGUUUAGUUUAGUCACACGCGUGGCCGUGAGUGCAAGCUCCGUUCACUUUCCUUUCUAAUGAAAACAAUAUUGUCCGGUUGAAACAUUAUUGAAUAUUUAUGAUAAAAACACCCUAAGGAUUGAUUAGAAACAUCGUUUGACAUGUUUCUGCAAACUCAAAUGGAAAUUUUUUGACUUUUCGUCCAGACUUUGUGCCCGUGCUUUGUGCAGUUGGAUUACUGGACUAAACGCGCAAACAAAAAUGAGGACCUGAGCCCUAGGACCAUGCCUCAGGACUACCUGGCAUGAUGACUUCUUGCUGUUCCCAGUCCACCUGGCCAUGCUGCUGCUCCAGUUUCAACUGUUCAACUGGCUAUGGAACCCUGACCUGUUCACCGGACGUGCUUGUUGCACCCUCGACAACUACUAUGAUUAUUAUUAUUUGACCAUGCUGGUCAUUUAUGAACAUUUUAACAUCUUGACCAUGUUCUGUUAUAAUAUCCACCCGGCACAGCCAGAAGAGGACUGGCCACCCCUCAUAGCCUGGUUCCUCUCUAGGAUUCUUCCUAGGUUUUGGCCUUUCUAGGGAGUUUUUCCUAGCCACCGUGCUUCUACACCUGC